AAGCCUCUGAAUGCCCCCAAUGCAUGAAUGUAAACUUCAGGAUGGAGAGCUGGGCUGCUAUCCUACGAGCUUCCAGGAUUGUGUAGUUUCUGGGGAUCCACACUACAACACCUUUGACAAGAAGUACUACACCUUCAUGGGAACCUGUACUUACACACUGGCCAGAACCUGUAGGAACAGCACAGGCCCUUGGUUCUCUGUGAGGCAAAGAAUGAAGAG
Molecule: long non-coding RNA, 219 nt
Organism: Oreochromis niloticus (Nile tilapia)
Lineage: Eukaryota; Metazoa; Chordata; Actinopteri; Cichliformes; Cichlidae
Exons: 3
Source: RefSeq, a predicted model, not a curated record